GGGCCAUAGCUCAGUGGGAGAGCAUCUGUCUUGCAUGUAGAAGGUCCCAGGUUCUAUCCCUGGCCUCUCCA
This is a non-coding RNA of Podarcis lilfordi (Lilford's wall lizard), 71 nucleotides long. The record is from the annotation of a GenBank genome assembly. NCBI's taxonomy places the organism in Eukaryota, Metazoa, Chordata, Lepidosauria, Squamata, Lacertidae.